Molecule: ribosomal RNA, 468 nt
Filed under: uncultured bacterium
Lineage: Bacteria
Description: partial 16S ribosomal RNA
Rfam family: Bacterial small subunit ribosomal RNA
Source: RNAcentral
GACGAACGCUGGCGGCGUGCUUAACACAUGCAAGUCGAACGGUGAAGCUCCAGCUUGCUGGAGUGGAUCAGUGGCGAACGGGUGAGUAACACGUGAGCAACCUGCCCCUGACUCUGGAAUAAGCGCUGGAAACGGCGUCUAAUACUGGAUACGAGAAGGGUCCGCAUGGGCACUUUCUGGAAAGUUUUUCGGUUGGGGAUGGGCUCGCGGCCUAUCAGCUUGUUGGUGAGGUAAUGGCUCACCAAGGCGACGACGGGUAGCCGGCCUGAGAGGGCGACCGGCCACACUGGGACUGAGAAACGGCCCAGACUCAUACGGGAGGCAGCAGUGGGGAAUAUUGCACAAUGGGCGAAAGCCUGAUGCAGCGACGCCGCGUGAGGGAUGACGGCCUUCGGGUUGUAAACCUCUUUCAGCAGGGAAGAAGCGAAAGUGACGGUACCUGCAGAAGAAGCACCGGCUAACUAAGUG